Molecule: long non-coding RNA, 1858 nt
Filed under: Mus spicilegus (steppe mouse)
Lineage: Eukaryota; Metazoa; Chordata; Mammalia; Rodentia; Muridae
Description: lncRNA (ENSMSIG00000023162.1)
Source: RNAcentral
ACAUGAACAAAAUCAAUUCAAAAUACCUAUAACAAUCUUUUCUGUUUCAUGGGAGAGGAACUUUUCCAUGGGAAAAAAAUUUUACCAUGCUACUCUGUUUCUCUAGGUCAAAUGCAAAUGACCACCAAAAUCUAUACUCCCCUAAAUGCUUUUCUAAAUUACACAAUGAGUAGAAGUUUGUUAAUAACUCUGACCUUGGUCCAGGACAGCUUCUCAUGCCAUCCACCAGACAACUGAUGGCGUAUCUGCCUCUGAACUCAAGGAUGUCUUUCCUUAGCUUGAAUUACCUUGAGAAACUAAGCUGACUGCAGAUCCUAAGCAAGAAACGGCUCCAAAUUUGCAAGUCUUGGUCCAACCUUCUCAUACCAUCCAAAAGUGUCUGACAUUGAAAUUCUAGUUUCAGUGAAGUGUGUUAAUGCAUAUUUUAAUGAAUGCAAACUGUGAGGUCUAGCAGUGCUGUGGAAACAUUCCCUUUAAAAAAAGGAACAGUUCCAGAAGGUACAUGCAUUUAACCCACACGUCACUUUUUUAAGAAGCUCAUUCUUAAUGAAUAUAAAUAUGUCAUGUUAUCUGAAAAUUAAGGUCAUAAACUAGUGAUGAUAAGAAGAGUGUAGAGUAUGUCAUACUCAUUAAAAGAAAUGGACAAAUGGCAAGCUACAGGAAGAAACAGCACAUGGAGUAUGUCAGGCAGAGUAUUGCCCGUGUAGCAUUUUAAUAGAAUAAUUUCUUAUGUUUUCAGUUCUGACUCUCACCUGAAACCCCCCACAAGAUCUCUAAGCAGUGGUACCUUGUUGCCCAGAGUUAUUUCAUUCCAAUCCCUUGCACAGAUUUGAGAGCCUUUUGAUGAAACCUAACAGUAAAGAGCGGACAUUACUUCUCAUCUAGAAUGGCUGCUGUAGGUCAGACUGGCCCUAUGGAACACCCUCAAGCUGAGUGAGGCUAUUUCACAAAACAAGUCACUGGUCUCAGCCCUCCCUCUCACCUGAUGGCCCAGAGAGCACACAAGAAUAGAGAAAGCAGGAUUAUGAUGUCAUUUUUCAAAGCCCAUGUCCGCAAGCUUCGGUCUGAGGAGAGCCUGUGGUCAUAUGAGAUUAGAGGACGGUUCACCAAAGAAAUGAGUUUUGAGCAAGACCCACUGAAGCAGAAUCUGGGCCAUACAUCAGGAGAAAUGCUGAAAUAGAGUUUAGCAUAAAAGAACUGAAACACCAGCCUUUCUGGCAGAGGCAACUGUGCUGAAACUCUGAAUUCAGAGGAAAGAAAUGUUUAAGUCCCUGGUCUAUGCUCAUAACAGUAGUGAAGUCUGCAACCGUAGGAAGAUGGCCUCACCUUUCUCAACUUGUGCUUCUUCAGGAAUAAGAAAAGGAUGAAAUCCCGGUUUGUGUCAUUUCCGUAGAUAAUGGAAGGGCACAAUGCAAGUCACAGGAAAUAUUUAGUAAUUCUUAGUUGAAGAGAAAUGAGCAUUGUGUGGUUGCCAGGACCUGAUUUUCUUCUCAUUUGAAAGGAGCAGGUAGACAGAGUAGCCAUGGUCAGUAAUAGUCCUAGAUAGCUUGCCAUGUGACUUUUAGAGGAGAGUGGUUCUCCUUUUGCUUCCAGGAUUACCUCAACAGCCCAGGGAGGGGACAAGCAUCUCUGAGGCCCUGUGAAGCUAUGGCUUUUGUAGGGAAAAGUGAGUCUGUGGGCACCACGCUGUGACCAUGUGCUCAAGAUAGUUAAGUGCUGAGCAACCUGGCCAUGUGCCUAUAUCUGUAAUGACAUUAACAAGCUUUGACAGAACACUUAACCAGCUAGAAACACUGUGUUAUUUAAUUGUAUUGUUACAAGAAAUCAAGGAGCUAUUAUUCAAGACCUCUGUACAAAG